Molecule: non-coding RNA, 274 nt
Organism: Epinephelus lanceolatus (giant grouper)
Lineage: Eukaryota; Metazoa; Chordata; Actinopteri; Perciformes; Serranidae
Source: RefSeq, a predicted model, not a curated record
UUUCCUCCGUGGAUAAUAACGGCUCAUGCUAAGGAUACUGAGACUUUCUGUGUUGCUGCAGAGAGCUGAGACACGAGGUCAUGCUGCCUGGCAUCAUCCUGCCCAUAUCUGACACUGAGACAGAGUAACAGAGGGAUUACAGGAUGGGCGCUCCUCUCCUGACAAAGUGUCCAUCAGGCAGGCCUUGGUGGCUCGUGGUUGUUGUUGGUAGGUUAACAGAGGGUCCGGUGGCCAGUGCAGAUUCUGCCAGCCUUCCAGGGCAGAUGGACGCCAG